Molecule: transfer RNA, 72 nt
Filed under: Ovis aries (sheep)
Lineage: Eukaryota; Metazoa; Chordata; Mammalia; Artiodactyla; Bovidae
Rfam family: tRNA
About the family: Transfer RNA (tRNA) molecules are approximately 80 nucleotides in length. Their secondary structure includes four short double-helical elements and three loops (D, anti-codon, and T loops).
Source: Rfam by way of RNAcentral
UCCCUGGUGGCCUAGUGGCUAGGAUUCAGUGCUUUCACCACUGCAGCCCAGGUUUGAUUCCUGGUCAGGGAA